RNAcentral lists this unclassified non-coding RNA (310 nucleotides) under Hevea brasiliensis (rubber tree). The record is from RNAcentral. Lineage: Eukaryota; Viridiplantae; Streptophyta; Magnoliopsida; Malpighiales; Euphorbiaceae.
CGUUGGACCAGCCAGAGUUAGGAGCUUAUUUCAGGAGGCAAGGCAGUGUGCACCUAGUAUAAUUUUUAUUGAUGAGAUUGAUGCCAUUGGUCGAGCAAGAGGAAGAGGUGGCUUUUCAGGAGGACAUGAUGAACGUGAAAGCACUUUAAAUCAACUGCUUGUUGAAAUGGACGGUUUUGCCACCACAUCUGGCGUGGUUAUACUUGCUGGCACAAAUAGACCUGAUAUAUUAGACAAAGCCUUGUUAAGACCCGGUCGAUUUGAUCGUCAAAUUACCAUAGACAAACCAGACAUAAAAGGCCGUGAUCAG